CACCCAUGCCCCCUCCCAUGCCCAGCAGUCUGGCUGGGGUGCUCUGUCCUUGGCCUCUCCACCCCCACCGUCAUCCCCAUGCAAACCUCAAAGAGGCUGACUUGGCGUAGCAUUUGCCUGCACUUACCUGUGGCUCUUCUGUUUGGAGCCAGCCAGAAACUCCUGAGUUUGGUUCCAAGGUGCUCUACCCCUCCUGCCUGCGGGAGGACUAGGUUCCUCAAUCCUUCUCCUGAGGUCAGGGCCAACAGGAAUCCCGGAGACAGCAGGGUGUUCAAGUAGCAGGUAGAGAGUGAGAGAGAGAGGGGACCUGUGGGACCAAGGCCUUUAUGGGGUCCAGGGCGUCACCCAGGCAGGUUUCCUGAGGGGAGUAAUAAUUGGGUUUAGGCCAGGUGCCGGUGGCUCACGCCUGUACUUUGGGAGGCCGAGGCGGGUGGAUCACGAGGUCAAGAGAUUGAGACCAUCCUGGAAAACAUUGUGAAACCCCGUCUCUACUAAAAAUACAAAAAUUAGCUGGGCGUGGUGGUGCGCACCUGUAGUCCCAGCUACUCAGGAGGCUGAGGCAGGAGAAUGGCUUGAACCCGGGAGGCGGAGCUUGCAGUGAGCCAGGAUUGCGCCACUGCACUCCAGCCUGGGUGACAGAGCGAGACUCCAUCUCAAAAAUAAAUAAAUAAAAUAAAAUAAAAUAAAAUAAAAUAAAAUAAAAUAAUUGGUGAGUUUAGAGCAAGCAGGGUCACGCUAUGGCUGAGAGAGGGUCACUGGCCUAUCUGCAACAGUCCAUGCGGGCUGUGGGGUCAGCGGGACCAGUCAAGUGGGCUGUAUGUAGCUGUCCCACAGGGAGGCAGUCACCGGGAGAUGACUGUCUAAGGUAGAUAUCUGGAUUGAGCACAUAGAGGAACUGGGAGGAAG
This 906-nucleotide long non-coding RNA is filed under the name Homo sapiens (human). RNAcentral describes it as "HSALNT0222844". Lineage: Eukaryota; Metazoa; Chordata; Mammalia; Primates; Hominidae. The record is from RNAcentral.